GGUUAAGCGACUAAGCGUACACGGUGGAUGCCCUGGCAGUCAGAGGCGAUGAAGGGCGUGCUAAUCUGCGAUAAGCGCCGGUAAGGUGAUAUGAACCGUUAUAACCGGCGAUACCCGAAUGGGGAAACCCAGUGUGACUCGUCACACUAUCAUUAACUGAAUCCAUAGGUUAAUGAGGCGAACCGGGGGAACUGAAACAUCUAAGUACCCCGAGGAAAAGAAAUCAACCGAGAUUCCCCCAGUAGCGGCGAGCGAACGGGGAGGAGCCCAGAGCCUGAAUCAGCAUGUGUGUUAGUGGAAGCGUCUGGAAAGGCGCGCGAUACAGGGUGACAGCCCCGUACACAAAAGCGCAUGUGCUGUGAGCUCGAUGAGUAGGGCGGGACACGUGGUAUCCUGUCUGAAUAUGGGGGGACCAUCCUCCAAGGCUAAAUACUCCUGACUGACCGAUAGUGAACCAGUACCGUGAGGGAAAGGCGAAAAGAACCCCGGCGAGGGGAGUGAAAAAGAACCUGAAACCGUGUACGUACAAGCAGUGGGAGCACAGGUUUACCUGUGUGACUGCGUACCUUUUGUAUAAUGGGUCAGCGACUUAUAUUCUGUAG
RNAcentral lists this ribosomal RNA (602 nucleotides) under Salmonella enterica subsp. enterica serovar Montevideo str. 316111868. Its description in RNAcentral is "bacterial LSU rRNA". It matches the Rfam family "Bacterial large subunit ribosomal RNA", at positions 1 to 640 of the family's 2925-position model. The record is from RNAcentral. Lineage: Bacteria; Pseudomonadati; Pseudomonadota; Gammaproteobacteria; Enterobacterales; Enterobacteriaceae.